GUCCACGCCCUAAACGAUGGAUACUCGACAUACGCGAUACACAGUGUGUGUCUGAGCGAAAGCAUUAAGUAUCCCACCUGGGAAGUACGACCGCAAGGUUGAAACUCAAAGGAAUUGGCGGGGGUCCGCACAAGCGGUGGAGCAUGUGGUUUAAUUAGAUGAUACGCGAGGAACCUUACCUGGGCUAGAAUGCUAGUUGACCGAGGGUGAAAGCUCUCUUUGUAGCAAUACACAACUAGUAAGGUGCUGCAUGGCUGUCGU
This 261-nucleotide ribosomal RNA is filed under the name uncultured bacterium. Its description in RNAcentral is "partial 16S ribosomal RNA". It matches the Rfam family "Bacterial small subunit ribosomal RNA", at positions 793 to 1055 of the family's 1533-position model. The record is from RNAcentral.